Molecule: ribosomal RNA, 158 nt
Filed under: Neofusicoccum mangiferae
Lineage: Eukaryota; Fungi; Ascomycota; Dothideomycetes; Botryosphaeriales; Botryosphaeriaceae
Description: 5.8S ribosomal RNA
Rfam family: 5.8S ribosomal RNA
About the family: 5.8S ribosomal RNA (5.8S rRNA) is a component of the large subunit of the eukaryotic ribosome.
Source: RNAcentral
AAACUUUCAACAACGGAUCUGUUGGUUAAGGCAGCGAUGAAGAACGCAGUGAAUGAAGAUAAGUAAUCUGAAUUUCAGAAUUCAGUGAAUCAUACAAUCUUUGAACGCACAUUGCGCCCGGCGGUAUUGUGAGGGGCACACUUCUUCCAUCGUCAUUU